Molecule: ribosomal RNA, 393 nt
Filed under: uncultured bacterium
Lineage: Bacteria
Description: bacterial SSU rRNA
Rfam family: Bacterial small subunit ribosomal RNA
Source: RNAcentral
AUUGAACGCUGGCGGCAUGCUUUACACAUGCAAGUCGAACGGUAACAGGGAAAAGCUUGCUUUUCUGCUGACGAGUGGCGAACGGGUGAGUAAUACAUCGGAACGUGCCCUGUAGUGGGGGAUAACUACUCGAAAGAGUGGCUAAUACCGCAUACAACCUGAGGGUAAAAGUGGGGGGACCGCAAGGCCUCACGCUAUAGGAGCGGCCGAUGGAAGAUUAGGUAGUUGGUAGGGUAAAGGCCUACCAAGCCGACGAUCUUUAGCGGGUCUGAGAGGACGAUCCGCCACACUGGGACUGAGACACGGCCCAGACUCCUACGGGAGGCAGCAGUGGGGAAUUUUGGACAAUGGGGGCAACCCUGAUCCAGCAAUGCCGCGUGAGUGAAGAAGGCC